GACGAACGCUGGCGGCGUGCCUAAUACAUUGCAAGUGGAACGCAUGAUUGAUACCGGAGCUUGCUCCACCAUUAAUCAUGAGUCGCGAACGGGUGAGUAACGCGUAGGUAACCUACCUCAUAGCGGGGGAUAACUAUUGGAAACGAUAGCUAAUACCGCAUAACAGUCUUUAACCCAUGUUAGAGAUUUGAAAGGGGCAAGAGCUUCGCUCUGAGAUGGACUCGCGUCUGAUUAGAUA
RNAcentral lists this ribosomal RNA (238 nucleotides) under uncultured bacterium. Its description in RNAcentral is "partial 16S ribosomal RNA". It matches the Rfam family "Bacterial small subunit ribosomal RNA", at positions 28 to 247 of the family's 1533-position model. The record is from RNAcentral.